Long non-coding RNA from Lepidothrix coronata (blue-crowned manakin), 1644 nucleotides. RefSeq lists it as uncharacterized. The transcript has 3 exons. The record is from RefSeq and is a predicted model, not a curated record. NCBI's taxonomy places the organism in Eukaryota, Metazoa, Chordata, Aves, Passeriformes, Pipridae.
ACAGCCCCCACGGCCCCUCGGAUGCUGGGCAGGUUCACUGUGUCUGCCAGGGCAAAAAGCAAAGUGGAGCAGAGCUCCUGCAGGUCACACAGCACCCACUGGAGACUGUGCUGUGGCUGGAAUGGCUCUCUCUAAACCAGCAUUGUCCCGAAAGGACACAGCGGGUUUAGCAGGUCAGGUUAUUAAGCACAUUGAAAUGAUCAGUAGCUUGUCCUCACCUCUUGGUUUCGCAGACAAAUUAAAACUCAAUUCAACCCAUUUUGGCUGUGUGGGGGCUACUAGUAGGAAAAACUUGCUGUAUUUGCUUUCUGUACUCAAGGAAUUUAUGAUUGCAGAAGGGAUGCUUGGUACUUGCACACUGAGACUCCCAAAUUUAUUUCUACUGGAAACCACCAUAGAUGGGCACAUUUUAAGGACAGACACCAUCUUUGGGGAAACAACCAAACUAUGCUCUUCAAGCCCUUCUGUACUUCACAGCAGCUAUAGGGGCUGUUAACAUAGAAGAGAUUAUUAGAUUGGAUGAAAAUCCUUUGUUUUAUACCAUUCUGAUCAAACAUUUUGAGUUACCUUUGCCUUUUUAAACAAUUUGUGCUUAAAUUGAUAUUCCAUAGAGCAACUUCCCAUAGUUUUGCAGCCAUUGGUAUGCAAAAAUCCAUCUUUUUUCCUAUUAUUUUCUUCUGUUUAGAUUUUUAUUUGCUUCCUGUUGUUACUCACAAGGAUUUGGAGCUCACAUAUGAGCUAAGUGAAAGAAAUGCUGACCGUGGCCACUUCCAAGCAGAUCUCAAACCAACUCUCCUACUUAGGAACCAUCCAGCUCCUUGGGAAGGAGACAAUAGAAACAAGUGAAGAAGGCUGCAGGACCAGGAAUGGUGGGAAUGGCUGUGGGCCAGCGCUGAGCAGGGGAGGCAAGCACCAAAUGACCUUUGGAAAGGGCUGACCGAUGGUGGCCAAGGACAGCAGCACAGGCAUGCUGAUGGCUCAGGAAUCACAGCCCAGGGGCAGAAAGGAUCCACUGGGGAAGAGAUGCUCUCUCCAUGGGAACAGCCAAGGCUUCAGGCAGGGAGUGGGGCUGUGUUGGGUGGCCAGAGCUCUUGGUCCAGCACCGCACCGUCAUUGUUGCAAAAUGUGGAAUGUGUCUUUAGAUUAUCUCAAGUCAGGAUGUUCUUUGAUGUUAGAAUUUUGUAUACUUUCAAGCCUAAUCAGCAAGAAAGGAGGGCUAAUCAGUGGAACAGGCAGCAGCCAGCAUCCCUUACUCAAGGACACUCUGGAACUAAUAAGCUUUAGGGAUGACAUUGCUAACUUGGCCAAAUACUCAAGGUCCAUGUGUCCUAGACCUGAACUAUCUUCAUUAUAAUACUAAAAAUCACACCUACAGGUCGAAAGAACCAUGCCCAGGUGAAGACCCUUGCCCUGAGCGUGCGCAGAAUUUAUCUGGGGUUGUGUGAUUUGUAUGGGAAUUACUAAUCAAUCCUAAUAGAGCAGACUGAAAAGUUACUGUAAUGCUUGCAAAGUCACUAACUCAGAAUUUGCGUGCAAAUAAUGGUGCAAAAAGUCCAGUGGGGAGUGCUGGGCUUGUGGAAUACCAACGAGCAUCCAGGCUCAGGCAGCUCUGAAAUCAGGAAUCAGUAUAUCUCUCUCUCUCAU